CCUACGGGUGGCUGCAGUGGGGAAUAUUGCACAAUGGGGGAAACCCUGAUGCAGCAACGCCGCGUGAAGGAAGACGGUUUUCGGAUUGUAAACUUCUGUUCUUAGUGAAGAAUAAUGACGGUAGCUAAGGAGCAAGCCACGGCUAACUACGUGCCAGCAGCCGCGGUAAUACGUAGGUGGCAAGCGUUGUCCGGAAUUACUGGGUGUAAAGGGGGCGCAGACGGCGAUGCAAGCCAGGAGUGAAAGCCCGGGGCCCAACCCCGGGACUGCUCUUGGAACUGCGUGGCUGGAGUGCAGGAGGGGCAGGCGGAAUUCCUGGUGUAGCGGUGAAAUGCGUAGAUAUCAGGAGGAACACCGGUGGCGAAGGCGGCCUGCUGGACUGCAACUGACGUUGAGGCCCGAAAGCGUGGGGAGCAAACAGGAUUAGAUACCCCAGUAGUC
This 441-nucleotide ribosomal RNA is filed under the name uncultured bacterium. RNAcentral's name for it is "partial 16S ribosomal RNA". It matches the Rfam family "Bacterial small subunit ribosomal RNA", at positions 338 to 795 of the family's 1533-position model. The record is from RNAcentral.